Molecule: ribosomal RNA, 445 nt
Filed under: uncultured bacterium
Lineage: Bacteria
Description: SSU rRNA
Rfam family: Bacterial small subunit ribosomal RNA
Source: RNAcentral
AGAACGAACGCUGGCGGCAUGCCUAACACAUGCAAGUCGAACGAGACCUUCGGGUCUAGUGGCGCACGGGUGCGCAACGCGUGGGAAUCUGCCCUUAGGUACGGAAUAACAGUGAGAAAUUACUGCUAAUACCGUAUGAUGUCUUCGGACCAAAGAUUUAUCGCCUAGGGAUGAGCCCGCGUAGGAUUAGCUAGUUGGUGGGGUAAAAGCCUACCAAGGCGACGAUCCUUAGCUGGUCUGAGAGGAUGAUCAGCCGCACUGGGACUGAGACACGGCCCAGACUCCUACGGGAGGCAGCAGUGGGGAAUAUUGGACAAUGGGCGAAAGCCUGAUCCAGCAAUGCCGCGUGAGUGAAGAAGGCCUUCGGGUUGUAAAGCUCUUUUACCCGGGAAGAUAAUGACUGUACCGGGAGAAUAAGCCCGGCUAACUCCGUGCCAGCAGCCGC